CGGCUCACUGCAACCUCCACCUCCCGGGUUCAAUGUCUCACAUGGAAUAUACUCAAUGAACGGUGGCUGAACAACAACAACAAUUAGAGUGAGAUCCUGAGAAAAGGAUAAGUUUGGCCUCUUUUCUCUGUCUCUUAUGAUGGGCAUAGAUGCCAUGUGAUACCUUCCACCACAGGAUGACCCUCACCAGAUGCCAGUGCCAUGCUCUUGGACUUCCCAGCUUCUAGAACCACGAGCCAAAUAAACAUCUUUUCUACAUAAAUUAUGCAGUCUGUGGUAUUUUGUUGUAACAGCAGAAGAUAGACUGUGACACAGUGAAUGUCACAUGCUGAGUAUUAUUCUACCCAAUCCU
Chlorocebus sabaeus (green monkey) is the source of this 352-nucleotide long non-coding RNA. RefSeq lists it as uncharacterized. NCBI's taxonomy places the organism in Eukaryota, Metazoa, Chordata, Mammalia, Primates, Cercopithecidae. The record is from RefSeq and is a predicted model, not a curated record.